Molecule: non-coding RNA, 361 nt
Organism: Pelobates cultripes (western spadefoot toad)
Lineage: Eukaryota; Metazoa; Chordata; Amphibia; Anura; Pelobatidae
Source: the annotation of a GenBank genome assembly
GCGGUGUAGGUGGAAGCAGUGGUGGGGGAGGAGGAUGAGGUAGCCAACACUGUUUUUUUAUUUAUAUAUAUUUUUUAAUUGGGGUAGCCCCCAAAAUAUUGGGACAUAUAAAAAAAGACAACUCUGUUCCGCAGAGUAGCUGUUGACAUUAUAGUUGCGCGGGCACUUUGCUGACUCUAUAGAACCUCGGGCUAAUCGCACAUCCCCGUGACGGUGACUUUUCAUUCGGAUGUCAUCCAUAUCAACUUUCUAUGCCAGUUUCUGUGCCUACCAUGGUGACCACGGGUAACAUGGAAUCAGGGUUCGAUUCUGUACAGGGACCCUGAGAAACGGCUACCACAUGCAAGGAAGGCAGCAGGCG